This 459-nucleotide ribosomal RNA is filed under the name uncultured bacterium. Its description in RNAcentral is "partial 16S ribosomal RNA". It matches the Rfam family "Bacterial small subunit ribosomal RNA", at positions 338 to 795 of the family's 1533-position model. The record is from RNAcentral.
CCUACGGGUGGCAGCAGUGAGGAAUAUUGGUCAAUGGGCGCGAGACUGAACCAGCCAAGUCGCGUGAGGGAAGACGGUCCUAUGGAUUGUAAACCUCUUUUGUCGGGGAGCAAAAGCCGCCACGCGUGGCGUUCCGAGAGUACCCGAAGAAAAAGCAUCGGCUAACUCCGUGCCAGCAGCCGCGGUAAUACGGGGGAUGCGAGCGUUAUCCGGAUUUAUUGGGUUUAAAGGGUGCGCAGGCGGAAUAUCAAGUCAGCGGUAAAAGUGCGGGGCUCAACCUCGUCGAGCCGUUGAAACUGGUUUUCUCGAGUGGGCGAGAAGUAUGCGGAAUGCGCGGUGUAGCGGUGAAAUGCAUAGAUAUCGCGCAGAACUCCGAUUGCGAAGGCAGCAUACCGGCGCUCAACUGACGCUCAGGCACGAAAGUGUGGGUAUCGAACAGGAUUAGAUACCCUAGUAGUC